CCUACGGGAGGCAGCAGUGGGGAAUAUUGGGCAAUGGAGGAAACUCUGACCCAGCGACGCCGCGUGCGGGAUGAAGGCCUUCGGGUUGUAAACCGCUUUCAGCAAGGAAGAAGCGAAAGUGACGGUACUUGCAGAAGAAGCACCGGCUAACUAUGUGCCAGCAGCCGCGGUAAUACAUAGGGUGCAAGCGUUGUCCGGAAUUAUUGGGCGUAAAGAGCUCGUAGGUGGUUCGUCACGUCGGAUGUGAAAAUCUGGGGCUUAACCCCAGACCUGCAUUCGAUACGGGCGUGCUAGAGUGUGGUAGGGGAGACUGGAAUUCCUGGUGUAGCGGUGGAAUGCGCAGAUAUCAGGAGGAACACCAAUGGCGAAGGCAGGUCUCUGGGCCAUUACUGACACUGAGGAGCGAAAGCGUGGGGAGCGAACAGGAUUAGAUACCCUGGUAGUCCACGCCGUAAACGGUGGGCACUAGUUGUGGGAACCUUCCACGGUUUCUGCGACGCNGCUACGCAUAAGUAGCCCGCCGUCGGGAGGUACGAGUCGCGAAGAAUUAAAACUAACGAAAGGAAAGUUAGUACGGACGUGAGACGUAGCCGACGGACGACGACGAGGGAGGAGG
Molecule: ribosomal RNA, 616 nt
Filed under: uncultured bacterium
Lineage: Bacteria
Description: bacterial SSU rRNA
Rfam family: Bacterial small subunit ribosomal RNA (bases 1-522)
Source: RNAcentral